CUGAACGCCUCUAAGUCAGAAUCCGUGCUAGAAACGAUGAUGUUGGUGUCGCACAUUAGACUUGUGUUUAAAUAGAGCUUUGCUCGUGAACCAAAUAUGGUGGGCUGGGUUGUCUUUGCGGAAACGCUUGGGCGACUUGUCUACGAAUUGUAAUCAUAAUAUGGGCGGCGGUGAAUCCUUUGCAGACGACUUGAAUGGGAACGGGGUACUGUAAGUGGUAGAGUAGCCUUGUUGCUACGAUCCACUGAGGUUAAGCCCUUGUUCUAAAGAUUUGUUC
Molecule: ribosomal RNA, 277 nt
Filed under: Armillaria sp. CMW 10583
Lineage: Eukaryota; Fungi; Basidiomycota; Agaricomycetes; Agaricales; Physalacriaceae
Also listed under: 2 other names
Description: partial large subunit ribosomal RNA
Rfam family: Eukaryotic large subunit ribosomal RNA
Source: RNAcentral